ACGAGCGCAACCCUGCUGCCAGUUGCCAACGGGUGAAGCCGGGCACUCUGCGGGACUGCCAUCGACAAGAUGGAGGAAGGUGGGGAUGACGUCAAGUCAUCAUGGCCCUUAUGUCCAGGGCGACACACGUGCUACAAUGGUCGGUACAAAGGGUUGCCAAGCCGCGAGGUGGAGCUAAUCCCAUAAAACCGAUCGUAGUCCGGAUCGCAGUCUGCAACUCGACUGCGUGAAGUCGGAAUCACUAGUAAUCGUGAAUCAGAAUGUCACGGUGAAUACGUUCCCGGGCCUU
This 289-nucleotide ribosomal RNA is filed under the name uncultured Synergistaceae bacterium. Its description in RNAcentral is "partial 16S ribosomal RNA". It matches the Rfam family "Bacterial small subunit ribosomal RNA", at positions 1092 to 1382 of the family's 1533-position model. The record is from RNAcentral. Lineage: Bacteria; Thermotogati; Synergistota; Synergistia; Synergistales; Synergistaceae.